Molecule: ribosomal RNA, 433 nt
Filed under: uncultured bacterium
Lineage: Bacteria
Description: partial 16S ribosomal RNA
Rfam family: Bacterial small subunit ribosomal RNA
Source: RNAcentral
AACGAACGCUGGCGGCAUGCCUAACACAUGCAAGUCGAACGAGAGCUUCGGGACUAGUGGCGCACGGGUGCGUAACGCGUGGGAAGCUUCCCUUAUGUUCGGAAUAACUCUCCGAAAGGGGUGCUAACACCGGAUAAUGUCUUCUGACCAAAGAUUUAUCGCCCUUGGUUGGGCCCGCGUUGGAUUAGCUAGUUGGGAGGGUAAAAGCCUACCAAGGCGUCGAUCCAUAGCUGGUCAGAGAGGAUGAUCAGCCACACUGGGACUGAGACACGGCCCAGAAUCUUACGGGAGGGAGGAGUGGGGGAUAUUGGAAAACGGGCGAAAGCAUGAUCGAGCAAUGCUGGGUGAGUGCUGAAGGCCUUAGAGUUGUAAAGCUCUUUUACCCGGGAUGAUAAUGACGGUACCGGGAGAAUAAGCUCCGGCUAACUCCGUG